Molecule: ribosomal RNA, 2001 nt
Filed under: Escherichia coli
Lineage: Bacteria; Pseudomonadati; Pseudomonadota; Gammaproteobacteria; Enterobacterales; Enterobacteriaceae
Also listed under: 1 other name
Description: partial 23S ribosomal RNA
Rfam family: Bacterial large subunit ribosomal RNA
Source: RNAcentral
UUACCAACCCGAUGCAAACUGCGAAUACCGGAGAAUGUUAUCACGGGAGACACACGGCGGGUGCUAACGUCCGUCGUGAAGAGGGAAACAACCCAGACCGCCAGCUAAGGUCCCAAAGUCAUGGUUAAGUGGGAAACGAUGUGGGAAGGCCCAGACAGCCAGGAUGUUGGCUUAGAAGCAGCCAUCAUUUAAAGAAAGCGUAAUAGCUCACUGGUCGAGUCGGCCUGCGCGGAAGAUGUAACGGGGCUAAACCAUGCACCGAAGCUGCGGCAGCGACGCUUAUGCGUUGUUGGGUAGGGGAGCGUUCUGUAAGCCUGCGAAGGUGUGCUGUGAGGCAUGCUGGAGGUAUCAGAAGUGCGAAUGCUGACAUAAGUAACGAUAAAGCGGGUGAAAAGCCCGCUCGCCGGAAGACCAAGGGUUCCUGUCCAACGUUAAUCGGGGCAGGGUGAGUCGACCCCUAAGGCGAGGCCGAAAGGCGUAGUCGAUGGGAAACAGGUUAAUAUUCCUGUACUUGGUGUUACUGCGAAGGGGGGACGGAGAAGGCUAUGUUGGCCGGGCGACGGUUGUCCCGGUUUAAGCGUGUAGGCUGGUUUUCCAGGCAAAUCCGGAAAAUCAAGGCUGAGGCGUGAUGACGAGGCACUACGGUGCUGAAGCAACAAAUGCCCUGCUUCCAGGAAAAGCCUCUAAGCAUCAGGUAACAUCAAAUCGUACCCCAAACCGACACAGGUGGUCAGGUAGAGAAUACCAAGGCGCUUGAGAGAACUCGGGUGAAGGAACUAGGCAAAAUGGUGCCGUAACUUCGGGAGAAGGCACGCUGAUAUGUAGGUGAAGUCCCUUGCGGAUGGAGCUGAAAUCAGUCGAAGAUACCAGCUGGCUGCAACUGUUUAUUAAAAACACAGCACUGUGCAAACACGAAAGUGGACGUAUACGGUGUGACGCCUGCCCGGUGCCGGAAGGUUAAUUGAUGGGGUCAGCGCAAGCGAAGCUCUUGAUCGAAGCCCCGGUAAACGGCGGCCGUAACUAUAACGGUCCUAAGGUAGCGAAAUUCCUUGUCGGGUAAGUUCCGACCUGCACGAAUGGCGUAAUGAUGGCCAGGCUGUCUCCACCCGAGACUCAGUGAAAUUGAACUCGCUGUGAAGAUGCAGUGUACCCGCGGCAAGACGGAAAGACCCCGUGAACCUUUACUAUAGCUUGACACUGAACAUUGAGCCUUGAUGUGUAGGAUAGGUGGGAGGCUUUGAAGUGUGGACGCCAGUCUGCAUGGAGCCGGCCUUGAAAUACCACCCUUUAAUGUUUGAUGUUCUAACGUGGACCCGUGAUCCGGGUUGCGGACAGUGUCUGGUGGGUAGUUUGACUGGGGCGGUCUCCUCCUAAAGAGUAACGGAGGAGCACGAAGGUUGGCUAAUCCUGGUCGGACAUCAGGAGGUUAGUGCAAUGGCAUAAGCCAGCUUGACUGCGAGCGUGACGGCGCGAGCAGGUGCGAAAGCAGGUCAUAGUGAUCCGGUGGUUCUGAAUGGAAGGGCCAUCGCUCAACGGAUAAAAGGUACUCCGGGGAUAACAGGCUGAUACCGCCCAAGAGUUCAUAUCGACGGCGGUGUUUGGCACCUCGAUGUCGGCUCAUCACAUCCUGGGGCUGAAGUAGGUCCCAAGGGUAUGGCUGUUCGCCAUUUAAAGUGGUACGCGAGCUGGGUUUAGAACGUCGUGAGACAGUUCGGUCCCUAUCUGCCGUGGGCGCUGGAGAACUGAGGGGGGCUGCUCCUAGUACGAGAGGACCGGAGUGGACGCAUCACUGGUGUUCGGGUUGUCAUGCCAAUGGCACUGCCCGGUAGCUAAAUGCGGAAGAGAUAAGUGCUGAAAGCAUCUAAGCACGAAACUUGCCCCGAGAUGAGUUCUCCCUGACCCUUUAAGGGUCCUGAAGGAACGUUGAAGACGACGACGUUGAUAGGCCGGGUGUGUAAGCGCAGCGAUGCGUUGAGCUAACCGGUACUAAUGAACCGUGAG